UGACCCUGCUCCAGGUAUUUAAAAAAGGAGAGUGGGGUGAGGGCACGAAGAAUUUCCCUACCACAAGUCAUUCAGCAGAAGCCAGAUGGAAUAGCAAUUCUUUCACUUGAAGACUCCAAGUAUUGCACAGUGCCAGUGUAAAGCUACCAAAGAAGCAUGCCCUGCAAACUGGGGUAAAAUGGCUGGGAGGAAGAGAUGGUGUCAAGCACGUUCAUUUGACUGUAACAUUAAACUACUGUGCUUUUCCCUGCUUGGGCGUCUACUGUACCAAACAUUCGUGUAAUUGACAUUAAUGUUAAAAGGACUUCUGUUGCUUUCACUGGAGCAGGAUACAGACCAGUGGGAGUAGCCUACUUUAAGUAUGUACCAUAG
Molecule: long non-coding RNA, 372 nt
Filed under: Apteryx rowi (Okarito brown kiwi)
Lineage: Eukaryota; Metazoa; Chordata; Aves; Apterygiformes; Apterygidae
Description: lncRNA (ENSARWG00000016371.1)
Source: RNAcentral